UGAACCGGGAAAAGCUCAAAUUUGAAAUCUGCCAACAGGCCGAGUUGUAAUUUGUAGAUGGCUACACUGCAUAAUAGUAGAUGCUCAAGUUCUUUGGAAAAAGACAUCAUGGAGGGUGACAAUCCCGUGAGGCAUGUUACUAGGAGCAUAUAGUGGGCUUUCUAAGAGUCGAGUUGUUUGGGAAUGCAGCUCAAAGUGCGUGGUGAAUACCAUGUAAAGCUAAAUAUGGACGAGAGACCGAUAGCGAACAAGUACUGUGAAGGAAAGAUGAAAAGCACUCCGAAAGGAGAGUGAAAUAGUACGUGAAAUUGUUAAAGUGGAAGGGCUUGAGAUCAGAAUUGGUAGUUUGGGUUCCACGUCCUCUUGGGGGCGUGUACUCCCUUUCCACCGGGCCAGCGGGAGUUUCGUCUCUUGGGUAAAAGCAGUGGAAUGUAGCAGCUUGUCUGUAUUAUAGCCUCUGUUCAUACAAGACGUCGAGACUUGAUU
RNAcentral lists this ribosomal RNA (486 nucleotides) under Wickerhamiella pararugosa. RNAcentral describes it as "partial large subunit ribosomal RNA". It matches the Rfam family "Eukaryotic large subunit ribosomal RNA", at positions 94 to 583 of the family's 3401-position model. Lineage: Eukaryota; Fungi; Ascomycota; Dipodascomycetes; Dipodascales; Trichomonascaceae. The record is from RNAcentral.